GUCGCUAGAGCUCGAUGAGCCAAGUAAAGCCAACCCGGCCAAACCCUCUCCUAAACCGGACGAUGCUAGGCCCUAUGGGACUACCGAUCACGGACGGUUGAGAUACAGCCUGGGAUCAAACCGAGUCACCUAUCCUGACUGCCGACGUUAUCUACCCGAAGGAGUUAUCCGGCUGGCUCCUCCGUUGCGACGUUACCUGAACGCCCAUCUGCAGCCUGCUAACCGUUAGCUGUCUUAUCGGCUGCUAUCUGAAUAGACAAUCGACAAUUUAUUUAUUUAUUUUUAUUAUUAUUAUUAUGUUUUCUUCUUGGGCCUCUAUAACUAUAUCUAUUGUUUUUACUUUUGUUGUUGUUGUGUGAUUUGGAUUAAUCCCCUCUACCACACGGAACCCCACUAAUCUACUGACGGAACGCAAGAGGUGGCUAAUAACAGACCUCCAUCCUAUGCUAGCUUACUACCGAUGGCCGGGCUAGCUGUCUAAAUCGCCGUGACACCCAGCCAACCUCUCCACUCACCGGACCCUUUUGAUCACUCGACUAAGCAUGCCUCUCCUUAAUGUCAAUAUGCCUUGUCCAUUGCUGUUCUGGUUGGUAUUUAUUGGUUUAUUUCACUGUAGAGCCUCUAGUCCUGCUCACUAUACCUUAUCCAACCUAUUAGUUCCACCACCCACACAUGCAAUGACAUCUCCUGGUUUCAAUGAUAUUUCUAGAGACAAUAUCUCUCUCUUCAUCACUCAAUACCUAGGUUUACCUCCACUGUAUUCACAUCCUACCAUACCUUUGUCUGUACAUUACACCUUGAUGCUAUUUUAUCGCCCCCAGAAACCUCCUUUUACUCUGUUCCAGACAUUCUAGACGACCAGUUCUUAUUGCUUUUAGCCGCACCCUUAUUCUACUCCUCCUAUGUUCCUCUGGCGAUGUAGAGGUGAAUCCAGGCCCUGCAGUGCCUAGCUCCACUCCUAUUCCCCAGGCGCUCUCUUUUGACGACUUCUGUAACCGUAAUAGCCUUGGUUUCAUGCAUGUUAACAUUAGAAGCCUCC
Oncorhynchus tshawytscha (Chinook salmon) is the source of this 1039-nucleotide long non-coding RNA. Lineage: Eukaryota; Metazoa; Chordata; Actinopteri; Salmoniformes; Salmonidae. The record is from Ensembl.